Molecule: unclassified non-coding RNA, 189 nt
Filed under: soil metagenome
Description: partial contains 5.8S ribosomal RNA, internal transcribed spacer 2, and large subunit ribosomal RNA
Source: RNAcentral
AAGACUAUAGACCUGCGGAGUACCUGCGGAAGGAUCAUUAACGAUUGGCCCCCGUGGCCUCGUCAUUAAUCCCAACACCCCGGUGAACCGUUUUCCUCCGGCCCUCGGGCCGGAUUUACACAUAUGCAAACACCGUGUGACGAACGUCUCGUGAUCUUAACGAAACAAAACUUUUAGCAAUGGAUCUCU